This 530-nucleotide ribosomal RNA is filed under the name uncultured Aeromonas sp. Its description in RNAcentral is "bacterial SSU rRNA". It matches the Rfam family "Bacterial small subunit ribosomal RNA", at positions 9 to 526 of the family's 1533-position model. The record is from RNAcentral. Lineage: Bacteria; Pseudomonadati; Pseudomonadota; Gammaproteobacteria; Aeromonadales; Aeromonadaceae.
GAGUUUGAUCAUGGCUCAGAUUGAACGCUGGCGGCAGGCCUAACACAUGCAAGUCGAGCGGCAGCGGGAAAGUAGCUUGCUACUUUUGCCGGCGAGCGGCGGACGGGUGAGUAAUGCCUGGGAAAUUGCCCAGUCGAGGGGGAUAACAGUUGGAAACGACUGCUAAUACCGCAUACGCCCUACGGGGGAAAGCAGGGGACCUUCGGGCCUUGCGCGAUUGGAUAUGCCCAGGUGGGAUUAGCUAGUUGGUGAGGUAAUGGCUCACCAAGGCGACGAUCCCUAGCUGGUCUGAGAGGAUGAUCAGCCACACUGGAACUGAGACACGGUCCAGACUCCUACGGGAGGCAGCAGUGGGGAAUAUUGCACAAUGGGGGAAACCCUGAUGCAGCCAUGCCGCGUGUGUGAAGAAGGCCUUCGGGUUGUAAAGCACUUUCAGCGAGGAGGAAAGGUUGAUGCCUAAUACGUAUCAACUGUGACGUUACUCGCAGAAGAAGCACCGGCUAACUCCGUGCCAGCAGCCGCGGUAAUAC